Molecule: ribosomal RNA, 427 nt
Filed under: uncultured bacterium
Lineage: Bacteria
Description: bacterial SSU rRNA
Rfam family: Bacterial small subunit ribosomal RNA
Source: RNAcentral
GUGGGGAAUAUUGCACAAUGGGCGAAAGCCUGAUGCAGCGACGCCGCGUGAACGAAGAAGUAUUUCGGUAUGUAAAGUUCUAUCAGCAGGGAAGAAGAAAUGACGGUACCUGACUAAGAAGCUCCGGCUAAAUACGUGCCAGCAGCCGCGGUAAUACGUAUGGAGCAAGCGUUAUCCGGAUUUACUGGGUGUAAAGGGAGCGUAGGCGGUCUUAUAAGUCUGAUGUGAAAGCCCGGGGCUCAACCCCGGGACUGCAUUGGAAACUGUAGGACUAGAGUGUCGGAGGGGUAAGUGGAAUUCCUAGUGUAGCGGUGAAAUGCGUAGAUAUUAGGAGGAACACCAGUGGCGAAGGCGGCUUACUGGACGAUUACUGACGCUGAGGCUCGAAAGCGUGGGGAGCAAACAGGAUUAGAAACCCUAGUAGUCC